RNAcentral lists this ribosomal RNA (223 nucleotides) under uncultured bacterium. RNAcentral describes it as "partial 16S ribosomal RNA". It matches the Rfam family "Bacterial small subunit ribosomal RNA", at positions 99 to 334 of the family's 1533-position model. The record is from RNAcentral.
CGUACGGGUGAGUAACACGUGGGUGAUCUACCUCUUAGUGGGGGAUAUCUCUGGGAAACCGGAGUUAAUACCGCAUAAGUUCGAGAGAAGAAAGCGAGCAAUCGCGCUGAGAGAGGAGCCCGCGGCCGAUUAGCUAGUUGGUGAGGUAAAGGCUCACCAAGGCAGAGAUCGGUAGCCGGCCUGAGAGGGCACACGGCCACACUGGCACUGAAACACGGGCCAG